AGGGACUUAGCUCAGUAGCACAGCGCCUGCCUGGCAAGCAAGAGGGCCUGAGUUCAAAUCCCAGGCCACCUG
RNAcentral lists this transfer RNA (72 nucleotides) under Cavia porcellus (domestic guinea pig). It matches the Rfam family "tRNA". From Rfam's summary of the family: Transfer RNA (tRNA) molecules are approximately 80 nucleotides in length. Their secondary structure includes four short double-helical elements and three loops (D, anti-codon, and T loops). Further hydrogen bonds mediate the characteristic L-shaped molecular structure. tRNAs have two regions of fundamental functional importance: the anti-codon, which is responsible for specific mRNA codon recognition, and the 3' end, to which the tRNAs corresponding amino acid is attached (by aminoacyl-tRNA synthetases). tRNAs cope with the degeneracy of the genetic code in two manners: having more than one tRNA (with a specific anti-codon) for a particular amino acid; and 'wobble' base-pairing, i.e. permitting non-standard base-pairing at the 3rd anti-codon position. The record is from Rfam by way of RNAcentral. Lineage: Eukaryota; Metazoa; Chordata; Mammalia; Rodentia; Caviidae.